GUUUUUCUCCUCUGCACACGCAGGAGAUUGGCACUACUCUGCAGCGGUGUCACAGCCCGCAGUCAUUUAAUGCCUCUUCUGGUGAGGCCGGGAUUCCACGCCCAAGUGCAUUUAGUAGCUUUACCCUUCGUAGAAGAUCGGCAAGCGGAAAAACGUGACAGUAAGACUGAGUUAUGAACUUUGAAAAGUUGAGAACAAGUAACUACUUGUGCUGUGAAAGCUGGUCUCUCUGCUCUUGAUUAACUGUCUGCAAUAGGUCACUGAAAAUCUUCAUGAAUGACAGAGGAAGAAAAAAAGGAAAGAAGGGAGACAAAAGGAAGGAAGAUUUUGGACACGAGAAUGAAUGACUUCAGACUUGGAUCACAUCAUUAAUUUCUUUUAUUAAGUUUCUUAAGUAGCACGAGUUUUGCUGUGUGUAUUUGGAAAAAUUCAGAUGAUGGUACAUGUUUUACAAGGUCUCUAUGCAAAUGACAUGAGGAGCACUGGAUGACUUUUGCUCACCACACACAGUAGAUUAUUACAUUCUGAAAUGUAUCAUCUUUACAGGUUUAUAAAUACAAACUUUUUAGCAACUAUAAUAUUAAAAUGAAGUAUUCUCAGAAAAUAAGUUAUUUUGUGUGAAUUCUGAUGCUGUACUUAUCUGGCCCCAAAUUCUAGUCUUCAAUCAAACCAUAAAGAAAAUUUCCCUCUGAAAUCAUCCAGUAUUGUGCAGUUUAGUCUUGGCAAUGGUUCUUCUUCAUUUUUGUUCUCUAGAAUGUUAAUCUCAUGGAAUCCCUCUUCUAAAGAAAAAUUUUCUUUAUUCUACAAAUCUGAGGCCUGCUAUACUUUAUCCUAUUACCUCUUUGAGAAGUCUUCCUGCCCCUCCCUGCAAAAAAAGUUUGUACAAAUUUAUUUAAGCUUCCAUUUUCUCACUUUAUGUGGCCACAG
This is a non-coding RNA of Peromyscus maniculatus bairdii (prairie deer mouse), 927 nucleotides long. NCBI's taxonomy places the organism in Eukaryota, Metazoa, Chordata, Mammalia, Rodentia, Cricetidae. The record is from RefSeq and is a predicted model, not a curated record.